Molecule: long non-coding RNA, 622 nt
Organism: Mytilus californianus (California mussel)
Lineage: Eukaryota; Metazoa; Mollusca; Bivalvia; Mytilida; Mytilidae
Exons: 4
Source: RefSeq, a predicted model, not a curated record
AUCAAUUGGUAUUAUUUCAUUUAAAAGGUGUGUAGUUGAUGUACGACACCUACGAAAUAUUUUACACAAAACCUUUAAGUUAAUAUCACAACGUGGUCCAAUCUAUUCCAGGAAAAGAAGAAGACAUUGAAAGAACUACACAACCAAAAUGGAAGGGAAACACAAAAAAGCUCUUCAAAAAUGUUCUGUCUACCUUAUAAGAAAUCUGUCUGAAGUGGAAACCAUAUGCGAUCAUUUAGUUGUUGAUGGGAUACUAACACAAGGACUGAAUGACUCAAUUAAGACGAAAACGCCAGCGCCCACUGCACAUAUUAGAGAACUUUUAUCUAUCUUACCAAGGAGAGGAAGGAAUGCUUAUCAUAGUUUCAUUAAAGCGCUCGAUGAAACAGAGAACACACAUGCUGCUGAAUACUUGAGAGAACACGAUGGUUCUAAAAGUACCAAUGGUGAUACACAGGAGGCAAAACAACAAUAUACCGAACAACCAGAGGAAACAAACAAAUUAGAAUCUCAAAAUAAACAAGAUUGGCCAGAUUUAAGCAAGAGCUUGGCAUUUGUAAAGAUAGAUGACGUAGUAAAGUGCACUGAAAAAUCAUUCACAAUGACAUGUGAAAGCAAAAAG